Molecule: ribosomal RNA, 433 nt
Filed under: uncultured bacterium
Lineage: Bacteria
Description: partial 16S ribosomal RNA
Rfam family: Bacterial small subunit ribosomal RNA
Source: RNAcentral
AACGAACGCUGGCGGCAUGCCUAACACAUGCAAGUCGAACGAGACCUUCGGGUCUAGUGGCGCACGGGUGCGUAACGCGUGGGAACCUGCCCUUAGGUUCGGAAUAACUCCCCGAAAGGGGUGCUAAUACCGGAUAAUGUCUUCGGACCAAAUAUUUAUCGCCUUUGGAUGGGCCCGCGUUGGAUUAGCUAGUUGGUAGGGUAAAAGCCUACCAAGGCGACGAUCCAUAGCUGGCCUGAGAGGAUGAUCAGCCACACUGGGACUGAGACACGGCCCAGACUCCUACGGGAGGUAGCAGUGGGGAAUAUUGGACAAUGGGCGAAAGCCUGAUCCAGCAAUGCCGCGUGAGUGAUGAAGGCCUUAGGGUUGUAAAGCUCUUUUACCCGGGAUGAUAAUGACAGUACCGGGAGAAUAAGCGCCGGCUAACUCCGUG